UAGGUUGUUCGUAGCAGUGCU
This 21-nucleotide non-coding RNA is filed under the name Caenorhabditis elegans. The record is from RNAcentral. Lineage: Eukaryota; Metazoa; Nematoda; Chromadorea; Rhabditida; Rhabditidae.